Molecule: transfer RNA, 71 nt
Filed under: Bacteriophage sp.
Description: tRNA-Cys
Rfam family: tRNA
About the family: Transfer RNA (tRNA) molecules are approximately 80 nucleotides in length. Their secondary structure includes four short double-helical elements and three loops (D, anti-codon, and T loops).
Source: RNAcentral
AAGCAGGUAGCUCAAUGGUAGAGCGCUAGAUACAUUCUAGAGAGUGCGAGUUCGAAUCUCGUUCUGCUUCU